CUUGUAGGCGGUUUGAUAAGUCCUGUGUGAAAUCCCCUGGCUUAACCAGGGAACUGCGCCGGAUACUGUCGAACUAGAGGCCGGGAGAGGGAAGCGGAAUUCCCAGUGUAGCGGUGAAAUGCGUAGAUAUUGGGAGGAACAUCGGUGGCGAAGGCGGCUUCCUGGACCGGUUCUGACGCUAAAGAGCGAAAGCUAGGGUAGCAAACA
This 207-nucleotide ribosomal RNA is filed under the name uncultured bacterium. RNAcentral's name for it is "partial 16S ribosomal RNA". It matches the Rfam family "Bacterial small subunit ribosomal RNA", at positions 568 to 774 of the family's 1533-position model. The record is from RNAcentral.